This 306-nucleotide ribosomal RNA is filed under the name Triticum aestivum (bread wheat). Its description in RNAcentral is "partial small subunit ribosomal RNA". The record is from RNAcentral. Lineage: Eukaryota; Viridiplantae; Streptophyta; Magnoliopsida; Poales; Poaceae.
AUGAACGAUGUAGCGGCCGUCGUUGUAGACCUCAGGGUGGGAAACCUCGACGCCUUCAACGAAGAGCCUGGCGUGGUGGACGGAGAAGGUGCCGCUCACGGUGUCGAUGUUGAGGCAGAGGUUGACGGAGGCCGAUGGAAUCUUGAUGGUGGGGGCGGCGGUGAGCUCGGAGUACGGGUAGUAGCCCAAGGCGAUGUGGUCCAGGAGGAGGCGGCGCAUCGAGCACAUGGAGCACGAGGUCUGGAUGGAGAUGUCGGGAGGCGCGAAGAUGGUGAUCGGCCCGUGCCACCUCGCGAGCGGCGGUAA